This 253-nucleotide ribosomal RNA is filed under the name uncultured bacterium. RNAcentral's name for it is "partial 16S ribosomal RNA". It matches the Rfam family "Bacterial small subunit ribosomal RNA", at positions 524 to 776 of the family's 1533-position model. The record is from RNAcentral.
UACGUAGGGUGCAAGCGUUGUCCGGAAUUAUUGGGCGUAAAGAGCUCGUAGGCGGGCUGUCACGUCGGCUGUGAAAACCCGGGGCUCAACCCCGGGCCUGCAGUCGAUACUGGCAGACUAGAGUGCGGUAGGGGAGACUGGAAUUCCUGGUGUAGCGGUGAAAUGCGCAGAUAUCAGGAGGAACACCGAUGGCGAAGGCAGAUCUCUGGGCCGUAACUGACGCUGAGGAGCGAAAGCGUGGGGAGCAAACAGG